Molecule: long non-coding RNA, 1138 nt
Filed under: Monodelphis domestica (gray short-tailed opossum)
Lineage: Eukaryota; Metazoa; Chordata; Mammalia; Didelphimorphia; Didelphidae
Description: lncRNA (ENSMODG00000030562.2)
Source: RNAcentral
UGGGUUUCCUUUGCUUUUGCUAUCUCUUUCUGUGUCUGCACCUUGCUCUUUGUCUCCAUACAAAGUCUUUAGAGUUAGGUGAUUUUUUUGAUUGUUUGCUCAUUUUUCCUAUCUAAUUAUAGGUAGGCUCUGUUUUCUGGAAAGUUGGAUACCCUCUUAAACUUCAGUUCUUUUGUUAAUGUUAUUUUUGGCUUAUUUUCCAGGUUGGUCUGAGGUCUGAGGGCUUAGAGCUCUGAGAGUCCCCUCCCCAUGAUGAUUCAAUUGACCCUUGAGAUGCUGAUAGCUUAAAUACUUUCUUCAGACUGGGGUGUAAGAUUUUCAUCUUAGUCUGAACUUGAUUAGGUCAGGUGCUGAUCAGAUUCUAGCCCCAGGCUUAGUCUCAUGGUUUUGGUCUCAAGGUGUCCUUGAUUCAAUCAGGCACCCCCUUGAUUGCCCUGUACUGGAGCUCCACUCUUAGUUUUAGGCAAAAAGUUCCCAGGGAUAACUGUGGAUUAUGUCCUCACCCUGAAACUAGAUUUGGAUUUCUGGCUUCACUCUGGGUCCAAGUGGAUUGUCCCCCUUUAGCCCAGAUUGUCUUGAGCUGGGACUCUGGACUUCUCCACAGAUUCAUAGAUAUUUGUAUUUCCCAGACCUCAUCAAGAAGAGAAGAAAGAGGAAAUUUUGGAGAUCUACAUUCUCUGCAACAAAUAGAGAAAACACACCCAGAGGUUUUCCUUCUGGAGGCUGCUGGAGUUUAGGAGAGGAGUGAUCUCUUCCCAAUAGGCAAAUCUGAUGGACGUAACAGAAAAUACACAGUAUUUCUUGAGAAGCCUGUGGUCCAAUUCUUGAUGCCAUGGAUUCUGUGGGAAGGUUCUUGAGGAUGUGUGCUCAAUGAUGGGACUCGAAGAUUGGAGGCUUUUAGAAUAUUGCACUGCGUAUUGGCAUAGUAUGGGUAAAAACCUUUUGGUAUAUUAAAUAGGCACAGUGGUUGACAAAGGAAGGGUGUGUAUCCUAAUUAAGAAGAAGCACAAAUCCUUGGAUAUUAAGAUAUUAGGAAAAACUGCUCCAUUCUAAUCAUUGCUCUGUAUACUGUCUAAUCUAUUCUUAUCACUACUUGCUCAUGAAUUCUAUGGCCAUAGCAAUACAUGAAGUAAAGGCA